ACCCCACUCAUCUCUCCCCCCGUGCUCCUCCAUCCCACGACCCGCCCCACCCACUCCUCUCUGCCCCGUGCUCCUCCAUCCCAUGGCGCCGCCGCCUCCCUCCCCGCGCCCCCGCUGCAGCGCCACCGCCUCCCUCCCGGCGCCCCCGCUGCAGCGCCACCGCCUCCCUCCCGGCGCCCCCGCUGCAGCGCCGCUGCCUCCCUCGCCGCGCCCCCACUGCAGCACCGACGCCGCCCUCGCGCACCCGCGUAGCCGUCUCCCCAGCGCCCUCGUGACCCGCGCGCCUCCGCGCCGCUCGGGCCAUGGAUCCGGCCAUGCCGCGGCGGUCAGGCGACGGAUCCAGCCCCGCUGCACCGCCCAGGCGCCGGGGUCGAGCGCCGCCGUUCCCCAGCGCUGUCCCGGCGACUGCCCCCAACCCCCUCCAACUCCCCUCGUCCUUGCCCCCCGAGCAGCAACAUGGAUCCGGCGGGCGGCGCACACCCUUACCUCCACCAGCCCGAGCGCCCCGCUGGCGUGCCUCCAGCACUGGCUCUGCGCGGCGCAGCAGUCCACUCCUCCCACGCCGCCCACACCCUCCCAUCUACCGGAUCAGGUCGCGGCUCCCCUCGUGGUCGUAUCUUCCUCCCCUGCGGCAGCUCCACCCCGGCCCCAGCGGAACCACUCCUCUGGCUCAAGAUCCAUGGAGUCUGGCGACCACGGACGUGCAGCUCGCAGGCAUGAGAUGUGGUUCAGUGCUCCUGUGGGUGUAGUUCAUGAGCGCGCCGGUGACGAUGGCAGCAAGGCAGUGCACUCCGGUAGUUGCCGUGGUGCACUCUGGUGGCCGUUGUGGUACAGCUCAGUGGCUGGCCAGCUUGGUGACGCGACAGGUGCAGUCAGCUGAGCAGACACUCUUCUCCAAGCGAGAAGAGGAGGGCGAUCUUGGUUCCUGUCCACGUGCAGUUUCAGGCGAUGCGCCCAUGCGGUGUGGAGCACAUGUGCAUGUAGUCCGUCGGCCAUGCGUGUAGUACAGGUCGCAUACUGGUGUAGUUCGUCGCUGAACCUGUGUUGUAGUUUUAGGUCGCAUAGUGGCGUGUGUGAUGCAGUUUUGUGUCUCCUCUCGGGUGGACACAUAGCUGCACCCCAUAUCGCCCAGUACUGUAACCCCUUCUUCCUUUACUUAUUUUUUGCAGGAAAGAAAGUGGUGCAUUUCGGUUGGAUGUCCCGUUGGAGUUUGACCUUGUGCCAUUUCAGAUUAUAUUGUGCAGUGCAACAUGAGUUUCUCUGCUUGGGGUGCUCUGGUACAGUAUAUACUUGUAUGGCUGUGUAAAAAAUAUAUGAAUUUGUGUUUUGAGCAUUCUGAAGCACUGAUGUUAUUUUUUUACUUCGAGAAAACAUGAUGUGGUCCAUUAUGUGGUGGUUGGUAGUUUACUUUGUUAGAAGGGAGAAAAAGAAAUUCACGUGAGAGGUUCACUUCUUUUUCGAAUGAAGAUUAUUUUUGUGGGACUAUCGAAAAAUAUGGAGUUGAGGUUCACUAGCAAAAAUUAAUGUGGUUCACUUCUGAGAGUGUUACAGUGCAUUUUCAAUAGUGGUCUGGUUCACUUGCACCCG
RNAcentral lists this ribosomal RNA (1587 nucleotides) under Triticum aestivum (bread wheat). RNAcentral describes it as "partial small subunit ribosomal RNA". The record is from RNAcentral. Lineage: Eukaryota; Viridiplantae; Streptophyta; Magnoliopsida; Poales; Poaceae.